Molecule: ribosomal RNA, 292 nt
Filed under: uncultured soil bacterium
Lineage: Bacteria
Description: partial 16S ribosomal RNA
Rfam family: Bacterial small subunit ribosomal RNA
Source: RNAcentral
AGAUUGAACGCUGGCGGCAUGCCUUACACAUGCAAGUCGAACGGUAGAGUAGCAAUACUCGAGAGUGGCGAACGGGUGAGUAAUAUAUCGGAACGUGCCCAGUCGUGGGGGAUAACGUAGAGAAAUUUACGCUAAUACCGCAUACGAUCUAAGGAUGAAAGCGGGGGAUCGCAAGACCUCGCGCGAUUGGAGCGGCUGAUAUCAGAUUAGGUUGUUGGUGAGGUAAAAGCUCACCAAGCCGACGAUCUGUAGCUGGUUUGAGAGGACGACCAGCCACACUGGGACUGAGACA